RNAcentral lists this ribosomal RNA (601 nucleotides) under Leptotrombidium pallidum. RNAcentral's name for it is "small ribosomal RNA subunit". Lineage: Eukaryota; Metazoa; Arthropoda; Arachnida; Trombidiformes; Trombiculidae. The record is from RNAcentral.
AAUGUGUUAUGAAAAAACUUUUUAUCAGACCUUGAAAUUAUUUGCUAAAAGAGAUAAUUCUUCCUCUCAAAUGGCGUGCCAGCAGUCUCGGUUACACGAUUAGGAGAAAAAAUAGAAAUUUUUUAUUAAAAGUGAAAUUAAAAAACAAACCAAAAGUAGGUGAAAUUAUUUGGAAAAUAAAACAAAGUUUAAUAAAAAGAAAAAACAGAAGAAAAAGGAUUAGAUACCCUUCCACUUUUUAUCAAAGGUAAUAAAUGAAAAACAUAAAACCUAAAAGUUUUGGCGGUUUUCUAUCCUCUCAGGGGAAUUUGCCUAAUAAAUCGAUACCCCCCGAUUAAAAAGACCUUUUUUUAUUAACUUAUAUAUCUCCGAGGAAUUAGAAUUAAUACCACUAUUUACUCAGGUAAAAUAUAGUUUAUAUAAAGGAAUUGGUUAAUUACUAAAAAGAAAUUGAAUAGACCUUUCAAAAUAAUAAGGACCUGAAAGUAAAAUUUUUAUAAAAUAAAAAAUUGAAAUGGCAAUUGAAAAUGUACAUAUCGCCCGUCGUCCUAAUCAUUAGGUAAGUCGUAACAAAGUAGAAAUUUCGGAAGAAGUUUCUUGU